RNAcentral lists this small nucleolar RNA (131 nucleotides) under Carlito syrichta (Philippine tarsier). RNAcentral's name for it is "Small nucleolar RNA SNORA63 (ENSTSYG00000022735.2)". It matches the Rfam family "Small nucleolar RNA SNORA63". From Rfam's summary of the family: E3 belongs to the H/ACA class of snoRNAs and is involved in the processing of eukaryotic pre-rRNA and has regions of complementarity to 18S rRNA. The record is from Rfam by way of RNAcentral. Lineage: Eukaryota; Metazoa; Chordata; Mammalia; Primates; Tarsiidae.
AAGCAGGAUUCAGACUACAACAUAGCUGUCAUGUGCUGUGUUGUUGUUCCCACUGCUCAGAUAAAGUGGUUUCCUAACUGUACCUGUCUGCUACACUCCUGUAGCAGCCAGGGACACUUGGUCUCAUACAU